AUGUGGACCUGUCUUCGUCAGCGCUAUGAGCCCUCUGGUGAUGCCUUAUACCUUUCUGUGGUUCGUCAGGAGCAUGCUCUUCAGCAGGGUGACUCUACUGUUGAUGACUUUUAUGCACAGAGUUCUGCUAUCUGGCGCCAGCUUGAUUCUCUCCGCAGUGCUGGUUGUCGUACUUGCCCCUGCUGCCAGGCUGUCCAGGCCGAUUUGGAGUUUCAUCGCGUCUACGAGUUCCUGUCUCGGCUCCGUAAGGAGUUUGAGCCCCGGCGUGCUCAGUUGCUUGCUCGUGGCCGUAUUUCUCUCAUGGAGGCGCUUUCAGAGAUUCGUGCUGAGGAGACUCGCCUACGUGGUGCUGGUUUGCUGGAGGUUCCCUCUGUGCUCGCUACUCGGGUUUCUUCCACUCCACCUGCUGCACUGCCCCAUUCUCGCUCGAGUGCUCCGCCGCUCUUGCCCACUCCUUCUGGAGGCUCAGGUCGCCCCCGUUCACAUUGUGACUACUGCAACAAUGAUGGUCAUAUUGAGUCCCAGUGCUACACAAAGCGGAAACACCUGCGCAAGGCGCGAUCAUCCUCCUCAGGGACUUCGUCAUCUCCCUCGCCAGCUUCAGCCAUUGCUUUGACUGAGCAGGAAGUAUUCGUCUUGAAGAGAUUGAUAGCACGAAGCAGAUUUGGCAAAAGAUAUUAUUGUAAUUCUUAG
RNAcentral lists this ribosomal RNA (693 nucleotides) under Triticum aestivum (bread wheat). Its description in RNAcentral is "partial small subunit ribosomal RNA". The record is from RNAcentral. Lineage: Eukaryota; Viridiplantae; Streptophyta; Magnoliopsida; Poales; Poaceae.